CAAUAGCGUAUAUUAAAGUUGUUGCAGUUAAAAAGCUCGUAGUUGGAUUUCGGGGUGGCCUGCAUGGUCCACCGCAAGGUGAGUACUGGUCAGCCGCCCUUCCUCUCGAAAGCCCCGACUGCUCUUCAUUGCAGUGGUCGGGUAGUUCGGGACGUUUACUUUGAAAAAAUUAGAGUGUUCAAGGCAGGCUCUCGCCUGAAUACAUUAGCAUGGAAUAAUGGAAGAGGACCUCGGUCCUAUUUUGUUGGUUUCUAGGGCCGAAGUAAUGAUUAAGAGGGACAGUUGGGGGCAUUCGUAUUUAAUUGUCAGAGGUGAAAUUCUUGGAUUUAUGAAAGACGAACUAGUGCGAAAGCAUUUGCCAAGGAUGUUUUCAUUAA
This 377-nucleotide ribosomal RNA is filed under the name uncultured eukaryote. Its description in RNAcentral is "partial 18S ribosomal RNA". It matches the Rfam family "Eukaryotic small subunit ribosomal RNA", at positions 592 to 976 of the family's 1831-position model. The record is from RNAcentral.